AGAGUUUGAUCAUGGCUCAGGAUAAACGCUGGCGGCGUGCCUAACACAUGCAAGUCGAACGCCCUUCGCAAGAAGGGAGUGGCGGACGGGUGAGGAACACGUGGGUCAUCUACCUCCGGGUGAGGAAUACCGGCGAGAAAUCGCCGACAAUACCACAUACGUUUGGCAACAAACAAAGCUCCGCAAGGGGCGCCGGGAGAUGAGCCUGCGGCUGAUUAGCUAGCUGGUGGGGUAAUGGCCUACCAGGGCGACGAUCAGUAGCUGGUCUGAGAGGACGAUCAGCCACACUGGGAUUGAGAACGGCCCAGACUCCUACGGGGGGCAGCAGUGAGGAAUUUUCGGCAAUGGGGGAAACCCUGACCGAGCAACGCCGCGUGCAGGAUGACGGCCUUCGGGUUGUAAACUGCUUUUCUUUGGGACGAGCAAGGACGGUACCAGAGGAACAAGCCCCGGCUAACUACGUGCCAGCCGCCGCGGUAAUAC
Molecule: ribosomal RNA, 483 nt
Filed under: uncultured bacterium
Lineage: Bacteria
Description: bacterial SSU rRNA
Rfam family: Bacterial small subunit ribosomal RNA
Source: RNAcentral